RNAcentral lists this long non-coding RNA (314 nucleotides) under Pan troglodytes (chimpanzee). RNAcentral describes it as "long non-coding RNA NONPTRT009850". Lineage: Eukaryota; Metazoa; Chordata; Mammalia; Primates; Hominidae. The record is from RNAcentral.
GAAGAAGCAGAGGAGUGUGGCGUGGGGGUCACUUGUCUCUGCUUUGCCCCUUGAUAGCCUUGUGACUUCGAGCCAGUUGUUUGGCGCUCUGUGCCUCAGUUUCCUCAUCUGGGGAUGGAGUGAGUCAUGCUAACCUCCCAGGCUGCCGUGAGGAUGCAGUGAAUGCACAGGUGUGAAGCAGUAGCACACAGGAGGCCCUGGAAAUGAUGAGUGUCUUUCAUUAGUGACUGAGCAGCAGGGAGUGGGGAAGGCCAGGGCCAGAUUCUGCAGCGCUUCCCAGAGAAGGACUGGGAGGACAACCCAUUCCCCCCAGG